This 243-nucleotide ribosomal RNA is filed under the name uncultured bacterium. RNAcentral describes it as "partial 16S ribosomal RNA". It matches the Rfam family "Bacterial small subunit ribosomal RNA", at positions 793 to 1035 of the family's 1533-position model. The record is from RNAcentral.
GUCCACGCCGUAAACGAUGUCUACUAGCCGUUGGGGAACUUGAUUCUUUAGUGGCGCAGCUAACGCACUAAGUAGACCGCCUGGGGAGUACGGCCGCAAGGUUAAAACUCAAAUGAAUUGACGGGGGCCCGCACAAGCGGUGGAGCAUGUGGUUUAAUUCGAUGCAACGCGAAGAACCUUACCAGGCCUUGACAUCCCCGGAAGUUGGCAGAGAUGCCUUCGUGCCUUCGGGAACCGGGUGAC